UGCUGUCCCUGCUCUGUGAGAAUAGGA
This 27-nucleotide unclassified non-coding RNA is filed under the name Mus musculus (house mouse). RNAcentral describes it as "oocyte_clustered_small_RNA9371". Lineage: Eukaryota; Metazoa; Chordata; Mammalia; Rodentia; Muridae. The record is from RNAcentral.